UUCUCGAAUUGAGGCGGACUGAAGGAAUUGGCUAAGAUAUUCAUUUUUCCAUCAUCCUUCCUGCUGAGUUUUUGUUGAUAACUCUUCAAUUUUCAACCAUCUUUCAUUCAUAGUUUAAGCCGCCUUACAUUUCCUUUUUGUCUAACUUUUGUUACUUCCUUUUAAUAAUUCGCCACCUAUAGCGGAAAUUAAAAUAUUCAUUCACCCUUUUUUCACUCUUUUAUGAAUUUGUUCAAAAUGGCCAAUAACAACAAAAUUUUGAUCGUCAUUAUAGAUAGCAUUAUAACAAAAAUUGUACCGAAAGAACCCAACAGCGUGAAGUGGCGGUUUUUGAGGCUGAUAAUUUCUCUAGUAGUAUAAAAUAAUGAAAACAGCCCAAUCGUAAAAAGGGGAAUAUACGAGCUGAAUUUUCAUUGAUGCAUUUUUUAAAUCGUAACCAACCACCUUUUUUAAGGAUUGUGCUUUGAUUAUUUACUACUAUCAUCGAGUGAUUUUAUUUCAAACACACGUUUUCUUUUUUUGCAUUCACUCCCAGGAAUUGAGAUUGCAAUGUGCGAUGAAGCUCCUAUAAUUAUACCGUGACAAAAUAUCUCCGAAGUUAGACCAAAAAUUGCCUAAAGACUUUCAACUGAUAUUCAUUUUUGGUCGAGUUACUGAAUUUUUGCUUCUUGGUUUGUUUUCCGUAUCGCCUUUAGGAAAAUUUCUCUGAUUACAUUAAAAUUUUAGUUGUAGUUUCCUACAAGGUUGCAAUUAACAUAAAUUAAUUCCUCCAGCAUUUUUAAGGCUGCAUUUGAAACACGAAGCAAAACAACCUGUGAUUUUUGUUUCAUUCACCCUUACAAAGUGGUUUAUACAAGGAAGCAAAAUCGAUUGAACGUUUUUACGACCUUUUUAUUUUUCAUGCUGUCAGAGGAAACUUUUUGGGACGGAAUCAGUUUAAUUCCCUUUUUAUGCUUCCCUAAGGACAACAAAGAUGUCUUUGUUUUUUUCCCGGUCAGCCAAUUUUGCACGAUAUCUUGGCAUCAAAAAUUGAAGUGAAACACCGCAUCUAAAGAUUUAUAAUGGUCGGCUUAUUUUCUUUUGAUUUACUGUACCUUUUUAUAAUUCAAGUUACCACUAAGUUGCUAAAGGUCUCUCUUGUUCACACUUGAAAAUUUCUUCAAAAAAUACCUGCUUCUUUUUCCUGAUACUUUCUCCUCUUGAGAAUUGAGUUAGAGAUAAACACCAGCGAUUUGCUUUAUUUUUAUUCCAUUUUAAAUAGUUAUCGGCCAUAAUUGUGAACUAAUAUACUUCAUCGCAUUUCAGAUUAUUCCCCAUUUCGCUUUAUUUCUGACCCUGAUUGUUGUAAAUUCCGUCGAACUACAAGGUUGUUUCUCUUUUUAAAGUUGGUGCUCAAGCGUCCUUACCAAAGUCUACCUCAAAAGUUGAGCUUUUAGAGUUGGUAUGUUCAUUUAAACAUAUCUGCGCUUCAUAAACGCCCGAGUUAUAGUCCUCACAACCAAAUUGAUAUCCACAUUGUUAUUUACAGCCCGGUUUUUCACUGAUAUUUUACAUUUCUUUUUGAGUUCAACGACAUCAAAGUUUUUGACUGAUCUAUGUAAAUUGGUGCCCAUUUGUUAUGUGUAAUUCCCUUGUGUAAGGGUACUAUACUUAAUCAUAUUCUAUCAUCUACUAUGAAGAGCUUCUUUGGAUUUUUGGCUGUUGUCUUCACUGUUAUCGGUGUAUGUGGAAUCCUUCUGGUCGGCCUGGUAGGGAUCAUUUGGGGUCCAUUGUGUCUUACAACCCACAUGGAGACCAGAUCACACCUCGGCUGCGGAAUAAUAGUCAGAGACCUGAAAACUGCCAUCGCUUUACUAGUCUGUGGAGUUGUAGUUCUAUCACUAGGAGUUAUUGUCAUCACAGUCGAGUGUUUAGACAGGAAAAACGAAGAGGAGAAAAAUCAGAAUACGAUGAAUAAUGCAGAAAAUGGCAACAGACUCCAAAACAGCGGAAGUUACAGAGCUGUUCCGAAAAGCAGCGUAGUCACUAUGUCAAACGACCUCGACGUUGUUUAGAUUAGAUUCAUAUUUAUUCAUGGAUUCUCUUUAACUAUCCCACUUUUUGCAG
This is a long non-coding RNA of Symsagittifera roscoffensis, 2106 nucleotides long. RefSeq lists it as uncharacterized. The record is from RefSeq and is a predicted model, not a curated record. Lineage: Eukaryota; Metazoa; Xenacoelomorpha; Acoela; Convolutidae. The transcript is spliced from 3 exons.